GGAACAGGAGGUCAUGGAGGGUGAGAACCCCGUGUGUGGCUCGGCUGUCACUGGGGGGUGUGGCGUGCCCUCGAAGAGUCGGGUUGUUUGGGAAUGCAGCUCAAAAUGGGUGGUAAAUUUCAUCUAAAGCUAAAUAUUGGCGAGAGACCGAUAGCGAACAAGUAGAGUGAUCGAAAGAUGAAAAGCACUUUGAAAAGAGAGUGAAACAGUACGUGAAAUUGUUGAAAGGGAAGCGUUUGGCAUCAGCCCAUGGCGGCGGUCGAACAUCGGGGCUUCUGUCCCGUGCACUCGAUCGCCGUUGGGCCAGCGUCGGCUUUGCCCGCCGGAUAAAGGCCUUGGGGAAGUGGCUCCACCCAGGAGCGUUAUAACCCUCGGCGACAUGCGGCUGGGCGGGGCCGAGGUCUGCGGUCUCAUCCUAGGACGCUGGCGUAAUGGUUCCAAGCGACCCGUCUUGAAACACGGACCAAGGAGUCUAACAUCUAUGCGAGUGUUUGGGUGUAAAGCCCGACCGCGCAAUGAAAGUGAAUGCAGGCGGGAGCCUCUAUGGUGCACCG
This 554-nucleotide ribosomal RNA is filed under the name uncultured Archaeorhizomycetes. RNAcentral describes it as "eukaryotic LSU rRNA". It matches the Rfam family "Eukaryotic large subunit ribosomal RNA", at positions 192 to 760 of the family's 3401-position model. Lineage: Eukaryota; Fungi; Ascomycota; Archaeorhizomycetes. The record is from RNAcentral.